CGCGCAGUGUUUGUUGUUAAGUCCAAGUGCGCGGAUCGUUUAGAGGAGGUCUGAUCGACUCCUGCCUAGAUAAGUUUAAUUUUGUCGUUGAGUCUUUUGUGAGUUUUAAACAUUUCGGUGUGUACAUAAUUAAAAAGGUGGCAUUUAUUGCAUGUUUCCGAGGUGUCAAUAAGCUGUUGAGAUUGUUGUAGAACUAUUGUAUAUAAAACAAGUGCGUCAUUGUCUAGCUGACCGCCACCUGGAGAAGAUGGGCAAGUUCGAGUAUUCGCUGGGUCUCAAUGAGUUCAAGUCGAAGGAUCUGCGUCUCUGGCAGGCGCUCAUCGGCGAGUUCAUUGGCAAUCUGAUAUUGAACUUCUUUGCCUGCGGCGCCUGCACACAGCCCGAGGAUGGCACAUUCAAGGCGCUGGCCUUUGGCCUGGGUGUCUUCAUGGCCAUUACGAUCGUGGGCCAUUUGAGCGGUGGCCAUGUCAAUCCAGCCGUUACCGUGGCUAUGCUGGUAGCGGGGCGGAUCAGCGUGCUGCGCGCCAUCUUCUAUAUUGUCUUCCAGUGUCUGGGCGCCAUUUCAGGCACGGCGGCUGUUAAGAUCCUGCUCGACUCCAACUAUCACAAUGGUCUGGGUCACACCAGCCUGGCGCAGAAUCUGACGGAGCUGCAAGGCAUGGGCAUUGAGUUCUUCCUGGGCCUCGUUCUGGUGCUGACCGUGUUUGGGGCCUGCGAUGCCAACAAGCCCGACUCGCGGUACACAGCUCCCUUGGCCAUUGGCAUGGCAGUGACCCUGGGCCACUUGGGCACCAUUCAUUAUACGGGCGCCAGCAUGAAUCCGGCACGCACUGUGGGCACUGCUUUUGCCACGGGCAAUUGGAGCGCCCAUUGGAUCUACUGGGCCGGCCCCAUACUGGGCGGCAUUGCGGCCGCGCUGAUCUAUACUCAGAUACUGGAGGCGAAGGACACGCCCAAGAGCAGCGAAAACGCUGAGAAAUAUCGCACGCAUGCCGAUGAACGUGAGGUGAGAGCUUUUGCGGCUUGGCAUGACAAGAGUUUCUAUUGAAACAGCACACACACACACACACACACCUUUACACCUACACUCACACUCAGAUUCUACGCAAACUGGAAGGAUCACGCGACUAUGCCUAGUCCUAUGAAUAUCCUGUAUAUACAUCCUGUUCGAAGGCCACUUACAGCCCGUCGAGUUGCCAGUCGAAAUGCUCAACAAGAAUUGAAAGGGAAUUUGAUGGAAUUGCUUUCAUCUUGAUUCCGUUUCGUUACAAUCUUGAAUAAUAUUUUCGUAUACGUGUUAAUUUAUAUAUGUAUGUGCGAGUAUUUAUGUUAUAUUAUUUAUGCAACAUCAUUUUAAAAACUAAUAUUUAAUUUAAGCUGUGCUUAACCCCACACAAAUUCAAGCAAACUAC
This 1412-nucleotide unclassified non-coding RNA is filed under the name Drosophila mojavensis. RNAcentral describes it as "GI18564". Lineage: Eukaryota; Metazoa; Arthropoda; Insecta; Diptera; Drosophilidae. The record is from RNAcentral.